Molecule: ribosomal RNA, 403 nt
Filed under: uncultured bacterium
Lineage: Bacteria
Description: partial 16S ribosomal RNA
Rfam family: Bacterial small subunit ribosomal RNA
Source: RNAcentral
GACGAACGCUGGCGGCGUGCCUAAUACAUGCAAGUCGAACGCAGGGGGGACGGGGGAGUAACACGUGGGUAACCUCCCAUCAGAGAGGGUAACCCUUUGAAACAGGUGCUAAACCGAUACUGCUGGAUGGACCCGCGGUGCAUUAGCUAGUUGGUGAGGUAACGGCUUACCAAGGCAACGAUGCUUAGCUGGCCUGAGAGGGUGAUCAGCCACACUGGAACUGAGACACGGUCCAGACUCCUACGGGAGGCAGCAGUAGGGAAUCUUCGGCAAUGGGCGAAAGUCUGACCCAGCAAUGCCGCGUGAGUGAAGAAGGUUUUCGGAUUGUAAAACACUGUAGUUAGAGAAGCGUUAUCUAACCAGAAAGCCACGGCUAACUACGUGCCAGCAGCCGCGGUAAUAC